AAACCAAUUUAAUUUGGCGGCAUUUCAUCUAUUUAGAGGAAUUUGUCCUUUAAUCGAUAAUCCACGUUAAAUUUCACUUUAAUCCAAAAAUUUAUAUACCUCCAUCUUAAGAAUUAACCGAUAUAUCUUCUCUAAAUACAUUAUAAUAAGUUAGGUCAAGGUAUAAUCCAUAUUAAAGAUUUAAAUGAAUUACAUUAAACAUUAUUUCAAGAAUAUAUAUAUAUAUAUUUAUAUAAAUAAGAAUUUAAAAGUAAUAUUUAAAUAAUAAUUCAAUAUGAUAAAGAUAAUAAAUGUGUACACAUCGCCC
Molecule: ribosomal RNA, 307 nt
Filed under: Draconarius sp. CL081
Lineage: Eukaryota; Metazoa; Arthropoda; Arachnida; Araneae; Agelenidae
Description: partial 12S ribosomal RNA
Source: RNAcentral